AGGAGGAUAGCCUUAGAAUGAAGAUUAAUACUCCAUAGUAUUAUUGAUUGCAUCAAUUAAUAAUUAAGUUCGGCGGUAAAGAUGAGUAUGCGUUCUAUUAGCUAGAUGGUGUGGUAACGGCACACCAUGGCAACGAUAGAUAGGGGCCCUGAGAGGGGNNUCCCCNACACUGGUACUGAGACACGGACCAGACUCCUACGGGAGGCAGCAGUGAGGAAUAUUGGACAAUGGGCGCAAGCCUGAUCCAGCCAUGCCGCGUGCAGGAAGACUGNCCUAUGGGUUGUAAACUGCUUUUAUACAGGAAGAAACCGCUCUACGUGUAGAGUUCUGACGGUACUGUAAGAAUAAGGAU
This 352-nucleotide ribosomal RNA is filed under the name uncultured bacterium. RNAcentral's name for it is "bacterial SSU rRNA". It matches the Rfam family "Bacterial small subunit ribosomal RNA", at positions 137 to 493 of the family's 1533-position model. The record is from RNAcentral.